AGAGUUUGAUCCUGGCUCAGGAUGAACGCUAGCGGCAGACUUAAUACAUGUGAGUCGAGGGGCAGCGGAUCCCUCCGGGGAUGCCGGCGACCGGCGAACGGGUGAGUAACACGUAUGGAACCUACCCUUAACUGGGGAAUAGCCUUGAGAAAUCGAGGGUAAUGCCCCAUACCAUCUGAAAGAGGCAUCUCUUUCAGAUGAAAGCUCCGGCGGUUAAGGAUGGCCAUGCGGUCCAUUAGCUUGUUGGUGAGAUAACCGCUCACCAAGGCUACGAUGGAUAGCUGAUCUGAGAGGAUGAUCAGCCACAUUGGCACUGAGACACGGGCCAAACUCCUACGGGAGGCAGCAGUAGGGAAUCUUGGUCAAUUGGCGAAAGCCAGAACCAGUCAUGCCGCGUGCAGGAUGAAGGCCCUACGGGUCGUAAACUGCUUUUAUUCGGGAAGAAAAAGUCUGUUUCCACAGACCUUGACGGUACCGAUUGAAUAAGGACCGGCCAACUCCGUGCCAGCAGCCGCGGUAAUACGGAGGGUCCAAGCGUUAUCCGGAUUCACUGGGUUUAAAGGGUGCGCAGGCGGCCAAGUAAGUCAGUGGUGAAAGCCUUCGGCUC
RNAcentral lists this ribosomal RNA (607 nucleotides) under uncultured bacterium. RNAcentral describes it as "bacterial SSU rRNA". It matches the Rfam family "Bacterial small subunit ribosomal RNA", at positions 8 to 610 of the family's 1533-position model. The record is from RNAcentral.